UUAAGGAGUUUCAUGGUUAUGAUCUUGAAGAUUACGUACGUUUGCUGCAGUUGUUACGAGAUAACUGGAAACCACUUCGAGAGUUGAUAUUGAAAUUAUUAACGAUAAUAAAAAGAGAUUUACCAACAUUGUGUAGACUAUUUGAAUGAUGUCAAACCUGAAUCGAAUAAAUCUCUGUCAUAUCUGUGUAGUUCCUUGAUAAUUUAUUUAAAGAACUAUUGAUUGCCCG
This 229-nucleotide long non-coding RNA is filed under the name Olea europaea (common olive). Its description in RNAcentral is "long non-coding RNA (OEUR_LNC009676)". Lineage: Eukaryota; Viridiplantae; Streptophyta; Magnoliopsida; Lamiales; Oleaceae. The record is from RNAcentral.